UACGUAGGGGGCUAGCGUUAUCCGGAAUUACUGGGCGUAAAGGGUGCGUAGGUGGUUUCUUAAGUCAGAGGUGAAAGGCUACGGCUCAACCGUAGUAAGCCUUUGAAACUGGGAAACUUGAGUGCAGGAGAGGAGAGUGGAAUUCCUAGUGUAGCGGUGAAAUGCGUAGAUAUUAGGAGGAACACCAGUUGCGAAGGCGGCUCUCUGGACUGUAACUGACACUGAGGCACGAAAGCGUGGGGAGCAAACAGGAUUAGAUACCCGAGUAUGACUGACU
This 277-nucleotide ribosomal RNA is filed under the name Romboutsia timonensis. RNAcentral describes it as "partial 16S ribosomal RNA". It matches the Rfam family "Bacterial small subunit ribosomal RNA", at positions 524 to 801 of the family's 1533-position model. The record is from RNAcentral. Lineage: Bacteria; Bacillati; Bacillota; Clostridia; Peptostreptococcales; Peptostreptococcaceae.